Molecule: ribosomal RNA, 253 nt
Filed under: uncultured bacterium
Lineage: Bacteria
Description: partial 16S ribosomal RNA
Rfam family: Bacterial small subunit ribosomal RNA
Source: RNAcentral
UACGUAGGGGGCUAGCGUUGUCCGGAUUUAUUGGGCGUAAAGAGCGUGUAGGCGGCCAGGUAGGUCUGGUGUGAAGACUCGAGGCUUAACCUCGAGAUGUCAUCGGAAACCAUUUGGCUAGAGUCCGGAAGAGGAGAGUGGAAUUCCUGGUGUAGCGGUGAAAUGCGCAGAUAUCAGGAAGAACACCAAUGGCGAAAGCAGCUCUCUGGGACGGUACUGACGCUGAGACGCGAAAGCGUGGGGAGCGAACAGG